GAACGCUGGCGGCAGGCCUAACACAUGCAAGUCGAACGGUAACAGGAAGCAGCUUGCUGCUUUGCUGACGAGUGGCGGACGGGUGAGUAAUGUCUGGGAAACUGCCUGAUGGAGGGGGAUAACUACUGGAAACGGUGGCUAAUACCGCAUAAYGUCGCAAGACCAAAGAGGGGGACCUUCGGGCCUCUUGCCAUCAGAUGUGCCCAGAUGGGAUUAGCUUGUUGGUGAGGUAACGGCUCACCAAGGCGACGAUCCCUAGCUGGUCUGAGAGGAUGACCAGCCACACUGGAACUGAGACACGGUCCAGACUCCUACGGGAGGCAGCAGUGGGGAAUAUUGCACAAUGGGCGCAAGCCUGAUGCAGCCAUGCCGCGUGUAUGAAGAAGGCCUUCGGGUUGUAAAGUACUUUCAGCGGGGAGGAAGGUGUUGUGGUUAAUAACCRCAGCAAUUGACGUUACCCGCAGAAGAAGCACCGGCUAACUCCGU
RNAcentral lists this ribosomal RNA (486 nucleotides) under Salmonella enterica subsp. enterica serovar Abaetetuba. RNAcentral's name for it is "bacterial SSU rRNA". It matches the Rfam family "Bacterial small subunit ribosomal RNA", at positions 31 to 506 of the family's 1533-position model. The record is from RNAcentral. Lineage: Bacteria; Pseudomonadati; Pseudomonadota; Gammaproteobacteria; Enterobacterales; Enterobacteriaceae.